This 84-nucleotide transfer RNA is filed under the name Actinomycetota bacterium. RNAcentral describes it as "tRNA-Leu". It matches the Rfam family "tRNA". Rfam says of the family: Transfer RNA (tRNA) molecules are approximately 80 nucleotides in length. Their secondary structure includes four short double-helical elements and three loops (D, anti-codon, and T loops). The record is from RNAcentral. RNAcentral also lists the same sequence under 1 other name. Lineage: Bacteria; Bacillati; Actinomycetota.
GCCGGGAUGGCGGAACUGGCAGACGCGCGGGACUCAAAAUCCCGUGAGCUUCGGCUCGUGAGGGUUCGACCCCCUCUCCCGGCA